GUCUCUACUAAAAAUACAAAAAUUAGCCGGGCGUGGUGGCAAACGCCUAUAAUCCCUAGCCACUUGGGAGGCUAAGGCAGGAGAAUCGCUUGAACCCGGGAGGAGGAGGUUGCAGUGAGCCGAGAUUGCGCCACUGCAGUCCAGCCUGGACGAGACAGUGAGACUCCGUCUCAAAAAAAAAAAAUUUAAGUGAAUUUAGAGGCAGGUGACACAAUUCAACCCCUAACUUAGACCCUAAUCAAAUCCUUCCACUGGUGUCUGUGGAGUUUGUUUCUUUUUCAUGCCUCCCCUGUUUUUAUCUUCUCUGUGUCUAUCUGUACUUCUCUAACCAGGAUCUUUACAGCCAUAAUGCCCAUGGUAGCAGCGGGACUGAUAAUAGAUGACCCCACACUGCAGCCUGUCCGACGACUUGUUUCCCUUGUAGGCACUGUGUGUGUUUUGGGUUUUGUUUGAGCUGUGCCCUUGGAAUGUCUGCUUCGGCUACUGCUGGGGCUGACCUGUCUCCCCCGGCCACUUAAGCUGCAUGGCCGCCACCUGUGUGCUCCAUUUGAAGUGGAUGUUGAGUGUGAUUUCAGCUGUGCCACUGGCUGCGCUCCGUCUACUCGAGCGAAGCCUCAGAAUUCUCGGCUCUGUCACCGAUAAUUCUUUUUGUCUCUUCUGUUUCUGUCUUAAAACCACCUUGCCCAUGAUCCAGUAAAGAAGGUCCUUUAAGUGACGGGUCAGUAAUCAACGCCCACUGCGGUCCCCGAGUGACACUAACCCUAUGUUUUUGAUGUUCACCCUGUAGCUUUCUAAACUGCUUUGUUUUCCAAGCCAUCUUCAAGUCAGCCAUUUGAUCUUGUUUAAAAAGAAAGGCAGAGGAGGGGACCAGUGUUUUAAUUCUGUCUGUGUCGCAAGUGCUAAGUGGCCUUCCUGUUUACCUGAGUCAGAGAGAGGUGAAGCGUAACUGUGGUGUGUUGCUGCUGUAUUUUUCGCCAGCUAAUUGCCUGGAUUACCCUAUAGAAAGAGCUCACAAAUAACCCGCUGUGAGAAUUGUGCCUUCAUUCACCAGCACACUUACCUGUCACAGAGAAAAGGCAUCUUAGUUGCUAGGGAGAGUUUCAUCAGAUAAACUUGGCUUGCCGUGGCUUUGCAAUGAAAGAUCAGUUUAUUCCUGGUAGGAAGUGAUUGUAGGAUCCAGUAACCACAGAAUAGUGAAAUCAUUUUCACCCAGAUGUGCUUAAAACUAAACUCUAGAGGCUGCAACACUAGCAACCAGCAAACAGAGGGAACCAAAAAUAGUUUAUCCGAAGCUUUGAUUUCGCAGUGGCUUUGUUCCUAUUCUUGCCUCCCAGGAAACAUAACAUAGCUAUUAUAUGAUAUUAUAUGAUAUCAGGUGGAUCAUUUGAGGUCAGGAGGUUGACACCAGCCUGACCAACAUGGUGAAACCCCGUUUCUACUAAAAAUACAAAAAAAUUAGCUGGGCACGGUGGCAUGCACCUGUAAUCCCAGCUGCUUGGGAGGCUGUGGCAGGAGAAUCGCUUGAACCUGGGAGGCAAUCGUUGCAGUGAACUGAGAUCAAGCCACUGCACUGCAGCCUGGACGACAGAGCGAGACUCUGUCUCAAAAAAAAAAAAAAAAAAAAAAGAGUAGAACUUGGUGACAACAGAAGGAAUCUUAAUAGAGCCUGGUAGUAUCAAAGGACAGUUUUAGGAAGAGCUUUUGGGAAUUCCUCAAGGUAGGCCAAUUUCAGGUUCACUGACCAGGGUCCUAGUUUGUUUACAUGACCUCAAAGCAGACCUUGUUUUAAAAGGACUACGUUAGCUGGCCACAGUGGCUCACACCUGUAAUCCCAGCACUUUGGGAGGCCAAGGCAGGUGGAUCACCUGAGGUCAGGAGUUUGAGACCACCUUGGCCAGCAUGGUGAAACCCCAUCUCUACUAAAAAUACAAAAACUUAGCCGGGUGUGGUGGCGGGUGCCUGUAAUCCCAGCUACUCAGGAUGCUGAGGCAGGAGAAUCGCUUGAACCAGGGAGGCAGAGGUUGCAGUGAGCCGAGAUCGUACCAUUGCACUCCAGCCUGGGCAACAAGAGCGAAACCCCAUCUCAAAAAAUAAAUAAAUAAAAAUAAAUGGACUACCUUGCAGGCUUUUUGCUUGUGACUUUUUCUUUUGUUUUUUUUUUUCUUUCUUUUUUCUAUGGUAACAAACUCAAGUAUGCUUGUGACUUCUGCCUUUAUCUUUCAGGCAUCUGAAAAUUCCUGAUGACUCUCUCUGAUCGAUAUGCAGCAGUCACAGCUGUUUUAAAAAGACCUCUGUCUACCUCAGUUAAACUCUGAGGCCAGACUAACUGUGGCUCUGUAGCUGGUUACAGUGAUACAGUCUAAAGGCUUUCACCAUUAAAUCUAUUUUUGAAAGUGCAAAUUGAUGUUUCCCAAAUUUUAUAUCAGAGAACCAUGAGUAUCAUGUUUUACUUAUAUAUUUUAUUUUAUUUUAUUUUAUUUUUUUAGACAGAGUCUCGUUCUCUUGCCCAGGCUGGAGUGCAGUAGCGUGAUCUCGGCCAGGCUGGUCUCAAACUCCUGACCUCAAGUGAUCUGCCUGCCUCGACCUCCCAAAGUGCUGGGGUUAUUACAGGCGUGAACCACCACACCCAGCCCAUAAUAUAUUUUUUAUUGUUCAUUUUUCUUAAGUACUUCCUUUAGCCUCAUCCUAAGCAGUAACGUCCAUGAAAUCUGGGCCACAGUUUCCUGACUGACAUUAAACAAAUACAGAACUAUUUAAAUUAGAAAUAUUCAUCUGUUUACAACAGAAUCCUCUUAUAUUCCACACGGUUUUCAUUAGGGUAAUUAAAGAAACCUCUGCAUCAUUAGGGUAAUUAAAGAAACCCAUGAUUUGUUUUGAUUCCCACUGGUAACGGGAUAAAUCCUCCAUAGAGGCUAACGUGGAAGACACCUCACACAUCACAUCAACAUGAAUGCCUUGCCCAUACCGCGUGACCUCCAAGGUACCGUGUCCAAAUGACACGCAGAAUACCCCGCUGCUUUCUUGGAAUAACUUUGACCUGCACCCCCAACUUUGUCUUUCACACCUUGAAUUGAUUUGCUCCCUUCUGAGUUUGCUGCUGUAUGUCUCCGGCACUGCAAAAAAUGUGACGUGCACAGCAAAGGGUCAGCUCUCAUUUCUGUGUUUGCUUUCCCUUCCAAAGGUUUAGCUUCUUCUCCCGAGAUAAGAAGCGCGUGGCCAACACGCAGAGAAACGUGCACAUCCAGGAGUCCUUUGGACAGUGGGCAAACACCCACCGCGAUGACGGUUACACAGAGCAAGGACAAGAAGCCCUGCAGCACCUGUGACCUUGGCCCACCUCCACCCUCCAACCUGGACUGCCCGCCACCAGCGUCUGCAACCGAACUGCAGCCCAGGGGUCGUUGCUGCCUCAAGCCUCUCGGUGCAGACACACCCUGAAAACUGACCCCUCAAACAGACUGUCUGAUUUGAGGAUGGACAUUGAAAAACUGACGCCAAACUCUAAAGAAAUGUUUAUUUAUACCCAGGGCUAUCACUGUUUCUAAUAGAUGACUCUGAUCCCGUAGGAUAUAUAUUUAAUAAUCCCACGAACGGAGGCCAGACUUCUGCGUUAACUUCAGUAACACAAGCUUCUUUAAGCCAAAUACAUCACUUGCCACUAUCA
Molecule: small RNA, 3664 nt
Filed under: Pongo abelii (Sumatran orangutan)
Lineage: Eukaryota; Metazoa; Chordata; Mammalia; Primates; Hominidae
Description: retained intron
Source: RNAcentral